RNAcentral lists this ribosomal RNA (497 nucleotides) under uncultured bacterium. Its description in RNAcentral is "partial 16S ribosomal RNA". It matches the Rfam family "Bacterial small subunit ribosomal RNA", at positions 28 to 507 of the family's 1533-position model. The record is from RNAcentral.
GAUGAACGCUGGCGGCGUGCCUAAUACAUGCAAGUCGAGCGAACAGACGAGGAGCUUGCUCCUCUGACGUUAGCGGCGGACGGGUGAGUAACACGUGGAUAACCUACCUAUAAGACUGGGAUAACUUCGGGAAACCGGAGCUAAUACCGGAUAAUAUAUUGAACCGCAUGGUUCAAUAGUGAAAGACGGUUUUGCUGUCACUUAUAGAUGGAUCCGCGCCGCAUUAGCUAGUUGGUAAGGUAACGGCUUACCAAGGCAACGAUGCGUAGCCGACCUGAGAGGAGGACGAUCCACACUGGAACCUAAUCACGGACAAAACUCCUACGGGGGGACGGAGUAGGGAAUCUUCCGCAAGGGGGGAAAGCCUGAUGGAGCAACGCCGCGUGAGUGAUGAAGGUCUUCGGUUCGUAAAGAUCUGUUAUUAGGGAAGAACAAAUGUGUAAGUAACUAUGCACCUCUUGACGGUACCUAAUCAGAAAGCCACGGCUAACUACGUG